RNAcentral lists this ribosomal RNA (579 nucleotides) under uncultured Mycobacterium sp. Its description in RNAcentral is "bacterial SSU rRNA". It matches the Rfam family "Bacterial small subunit ribosomal RNA", at positions 790 to 1368 of the family's 1533-position model. The record is from RNAcentral. Lineage: Bacteria; Bacillati; Actinomycetota; Actinomycetes; Mycobacteriales; Mycobacteriaceae.
GUAGUCCACGCCGUAAACGGUGGGUACUAGGUGUGGGUUUCCUUCCUUGGGAUCCGUGCCGUAGCUAACGCAUUAAGUACCCCGCCUGGGGAGUACGGCCGCAAGGCUAAAACUCAAAGAAAUUGACGGGGGCCCGCACAAGCGGCGGAGCAUGUGGAUUAAUUCGAUGCAACGCGAAGAACCUUACCUGGGCUUGACAUGCACUAGAAACACCUAGAGAUAGGUGCCCCCUUGUGGUUGGUGUGCAGGUGGUGCAUGGCUGUCGUCAGCUCGUGUCGUGAGAUGUUGGGUUAAGUCCCGCAACGAGCGCAACCCUUGUCUCAUGUUGCCAGCACGUUAUGGUGGGGACUCGUGAGAGACUGCCGGGGUCAACUCGGAGGAAGGUGGGGAUGACGUCAAGUCAUCAUGCCCCUUAUGUCCAGGGCUUCACACAUGCUACAAUGGCCGGUACAAAGGGUUGCCAACCCGCGAGGGGGAGCUAAUCCCAUAAAACCAGUCGUAGUCCGGAUCGCAGUCUGCAACUCGACUGCGUGAAGUCGGAAUCGUUAGUAAUCGUGGAUCAGAAUGUCACGGUGAAUA